AAACGGAUCGAUCUCGCCCAUUGCUAAAAUUGGUUGUAAACAAACCAAACUAUAGAAAGUUUUUGUGUUACUCAGUACUGCAAAACAUAUAUUCAUGUUGGAAGACACAACCUGUAGAAAAAUCACACAGUGCACGUAAAAAACAAGCCAGCGAAAGAAAAAAAUAUAUUGAUAGCAGAAUAUUGAACUAAAAAUGGCUGCGGCUGAGGACUUGUGGCGUGAAUGUGCUGCAUGGCUCACUCGAUGUUCAGUUAUUCCAGCCGAUCAUAAGGCAAAUCAGCCAGAUUCUGACAUUAAGACGUUAGCCGUAAUACUACGCGAUGGUGUUUUACUGUGCAAUUUGCUUAAUUUUCUGGAUCCUAGUCUUUUUGAUACAAAAGAUUUCAACAGGAAACCUCAAAUGGCACAUUUUUUAUGCAUCCAAAACAUUAAGCUGUUUUUGGAUAUCUGUAAAACAAAUUUUGGCCUGAAAGAUGCGGAUUUAUUUGAGCCAACCAUGCUCUAUGAUCUAACAAAUUUUCAUAGGGUUUUACUGACUUUAUCAAAAUUGUCACAAAGUCGGAAGGCUCAUACUGCACAUAACAUAGACGGAUUUAAUUCACAAGUGUUGCAAACUGAUAUAAGUAGCUCUGAUGAGGACAUAUAUAAAACCUUGCAUGUAACGAUAAAUCAUGAGUCGUCAGCCAUUGAUGUUGGCAACGAGAUAGAUGCCACAGCAACUAGUAUUUUAUUUAAGAAGCAAUUUAGCUUGGAAAACAAGACAUGCGAUGUAUUUUUAGAAAACAUCGAUACUUUACACGAUGAAAAUGAAAAAAUAUACGAGGACCUAUGUUACGUGACGUUAUCAAGAACCGUACCUCAGGUUGCAUCUGCCACCUUCGAACAGCGGGACUUUGUGAUUAAAGAGUUGAUUGACACUGAAUCGAAUUACUUAGACGCACUAAUGGCUUUAAAAUAUAAAUUUAUGCAGCCGUUAGAAAGAAUACUACCGAAGGAAGUGAUUCGAUGCAUAUUCCCAUGCAUUAAAGAAUUAGUCGAUAUCCAUGAAAAAUUUCUCACCAAUUUGCGAGAAUGUUUACAACCAAACUCAAAAAUCAAAUUGAGCACCGUUUUUCUAGAGUUCCGCGAGCCUUUCCUCCUAUAUGGUGACUAUUGUUCAAGUAUGACCAGCGCAACUGAUACACUCCGAGAUAUUUGUAAAAAGUCUGAUAACGUGGAACAAAUCGUGAAUCAAUGCCAAAAAGAACAUAGUGGAGGAAGGUUACAGCUGCGUGACAUUUUAUCUGUUCCAAUGCAGAGGAUUCUGAAAUAUCACCUCUUGUUAGAUAAAUUAGUGCAGGAAACUAGCCCGUCUCAUGAUGACUUUCGUGGCCUCGAACGUGCCAAAGAAGCCAUGGUCGAUGUGGCACAAUACUCCAAUGAAGUUAAACGUGACUCGGAGCAUCUAGUAGUGAUACAGAAAGUUAAGGAAAGUAUCUUAGAUUUGAAUCUGCCAAAUGGAAAUAAUCUCGAACAAUAUGGUAGAUUAUUAUUGGAUGGAGAUUUGAAUAUUAAGGCACAUGAAGAUCAAAAAACAAAGCAUCGUUAUGCCUUUGUUUUUGAAAAAGUAGUGAUCUUGGUAAAAAAUUCAAACGCAAAAAUUGGGGAAGGACAGUACGUGUUCCGUGAAGCGCAUAAUUUACAAGAUUAUCGAGUUGAAAUUUGUCAUUCUCGAAAAACAUUAGGAAGAGAUGGGCGACUGAAAUACUCUCUCCUACUUGCCAGAAAAUCGCAAUCGACAGCUUUUACUUUAUAUAUGAAAACAGAAGAAGAACGAGACAAAUGGAAGCGAGCUUUGGAUAUCGCCAUGGAUGUAAUAGACCCUAUCGGAUGCCGAAAUACGGAUCACAAAUUUAUCGUGUGUACAUUUGAUGCACCAAUUAUAUGUAGACAUUGCUCUAAAUUUCUUAAAGGAAAAAUUCAUCAGGGAUACCGUUGUCGGAAUUGCGAAAUCGUUGUACAUAAAGGAUGCAUUUCUUCCACUGGUAGAUGUAAACACAAUCAAUCAGCUCCAUUGGUUUGUGACAGACUAUUAUCAGAAUUCAAUUGGUUUGUUGGGGCAAUGGAUCGAGAUACCGCAACAAAUAAGCUAGAGAAGAAAAAGAAUGGUACAUAUUUGCUAAGAGUCCGUCCACAAGGUGCAUCGAGUUGUCAUGAAACCAUUUAUGCGCUGAGUUUAAAGACGGAUAGCAAAAUAAUAAAACAUAUGAAACUAUACCAUAAGCAGGACAACGUAACUCCUUUAUAUUAUCUUUCUACGCGGCGCCAUUUUAAAACCAUCGUUGAACUAAUUUCCUUUUAUGAACGUAACGACUUAGGAGAAAAUUUUGCCGGGUUAAAUCAGUCUCUUCAAUGGCCUUUCAAAGAAGUUACAGCGACUGCACUAUUUGAUUUUUCUCCUUAUGAACCUAACCAAUUACCGCUAAUACAAGGGUGUCAUGUCAUCAUUAUUGGUAAAGAAGGGGAUAAUAAAGGAUGGUGGCGCGGAAAAGCAAUGGAUAAGAAGCAGUACCGUCAGCUCCAUCAUUACAGUCAAUCGCGUCAGUGGAUCAGCUGCAGGGUUCGUACAAUGUGGAAAAAUUUAAUAGCAUCGUGCAAACACUGGAAGUUUUCCCAAUUUCGACCAGAAGCAUGAGAAGUACCGAUUAUCGUGUAAAAAAAUCUACGGAGAUCACGCAGGCAGUGCGACGAGACAUAUUCGGCAUAGAUUCAACGGACAUGGCUAAGCAGAAAGCAUAUGAUGAAAUGAUUAUGUAAUUAUUGGAGAAAUUUAAAGCUCCUACUACAAGCAGGAAUGACCAGGUUGGAUUUUUUCCCAAGGAGUAUGUGAGAGAAAACCCUAUAAUUGUAGAUGAUCAAUGACACUACGUCAAAAAUAUGUUACCUGGAGAGUGGCCUCGUUUUUAUCGGAAAACAAAGUAUUAAAUGUUGUUUUUGUUAAUUAAUAUGGCAUGCAGAUUUGUAUUGAACUAGGACAUGAAAUAAACCAAAAUGCUUUAGUGUUACUA
Wyeomyia smithii (pitcher-plant mosquito) is the source of this 3047-nucleotide RNA transcript. It is a transcript of the gene named protein vav, with no coding region annotated. Lineage: Eukaryota; Metazoa; Arthropoda; Insecta; Diptera; Culicidae. The transcript has 15 exons. The record is from RefSeq and is a predicted model, not a curated record.